Molecule: ribosomal RNA, 325 nt
Filed under: uncultured eukaryote
Lineage: Eukaryota
Description: partial 18S ribosomal RNA
Rfam family: Eukaryotic small subunit ribosomal RNA
Source: RNAcentral
CCCUUAGAUGUUCUGGGCUGCACGCGCGCUACACUGAUACUUUCAGCGAGCCCACCACCUUGCCUGGGAGGGUGGGGUAACCUCUGGAAAGUGCAUCGUGAUGGGGAUCGAUUAUUGUAAUUAUUAAUCUUCAACGAGGAAUUCCUAGUAAGCAUGUGUCAUCAGCCCGUGCUGAUUACGUCCCUGCCCUUUGUACACACCGCCCGUCGCCCCUACCGAUUGAGUGAUCCGGUGAAUUAUUCGGACUGUAACGCAUUCAGUUCCUGGAUGCAGUUACGGGAAGUUUUGUGAACCUUACCACUUAGAGGAAGGAGAAGUCGUAACA